RNAcentral lists this ribosomal RNA (453 nucleotides) under uncultured bacterium. RNAcentral's name for it is "bacterial SSU rRNA". It matches the Rfam family "Bacterial small subunit ribosomal RNA", at positions 340 to 786 of the family's 1533-position model. The record is from RNAcentral.
UACGGAAGGCAGCAGUGGGGAAUAUUGCACAAUGGGCGCAAGCCUGAUGCAGCCAUGCCGCGUGUAUGAAGAAGGCCUUCGGGUUGUAAAGUACUUUCAGUCGUGAGGAAGGUGUUAAGGUUAAUAACCUUAGCAAUUGACGUUAGCGACAGAAGAAGCACAGGCUAACUCCGUGCCAGCAGCCGCGGUAAUACGGAGGGUGCGAGCGUUAAUCGGAAUUACUGGGCGUAAAGGGCACGCAGGCGGUUAAUUAAGUUGGAUGUGAAAUCCCCGGGCUUAACCUGGGAAUGGCAUUCAAGACUGGUUAGCUAGAGUCUUGUAGAGGGGGUAGAAUUCCAUGUGUAGCGGUGAAAUGCGUAGAGAUGUGGAGGAAUACCGGUGGCGAAGGCGGCCCCUGGACAAAGACUGACGCUCAUGUGCGAAAGCGUGGGGAGCAAACAGGGAUUAGAUACC